GACAGGAUUUACCCUACUUGAACGGAUCCGACGUCAGGGACGAGCCUAGGGGCACGAACCGGAUUAGAUACCCGGGUAGUCCUAGGUGUAAACGCUGUGACUUGUGUUGGGGAUUCUCCGAGGAUUCUCAGUNCCGANGCGAAGUUGAUAAGUCCACUGCCUGGGGAGUACGGUCGCAAGGCUGAAACUUAAAGGAAUUGGCGGGGGAGCACCGCAACCUGAGGANUGUGCGGUUUAAUUGGAUUCAACGCCGGAAAACUCACCAGUGCCGACGGACAGAUGAAAGCCAGUGUGAUGAGCUUGCUGGAUUGUUCGAGAGGUAGUGCAUGGCCGCCGUCAGUUCGUACCGUAAGGCGUUCUGUUAAGUCAGAUAACGAACGAGACCCUCAUCCCUAUUUGCUAAGGUUUCUCCCUUCGGGGCGAGAUCACAGGACUAUAGGGAGACCGCUGGCGAGAAGUCAGAGGAAGGUGAGGGCAACGGUAGGUCAGUAUGCUCCGAAUGCACUGGGCUACACGCGCAAUACAAAGGACGGGACAAUGGGCCGCUGCUCCGAGAGGAAAGAUGGCUAUCCCGAAACCCGUUCGUAGUUCGGAUUGAGGGCUGUAACUCGCCCUCAUGAAGCUGGAUUAGGUAGUAAUCGCGUCUCAAAAAGGCGCGGUGAAUAUGCCCCUGCUCCUUGCGCACACCGCCCGUCAAACCAUCUUAGUUGGGGGUGGNUGAGNCUGCCUUUUAG
This 734-nucleotide ribosomal RNA is filed under the name uncultured marine euryarchaeote dh148-W9. Its description in RNAcentral is "bacterial SSU rRNA". It matches the Rfam family "Archaeal small subunit ribosomal RNA", at positions 664 to 1393 of the family's 1478-position model. Lineage: Archaea; Methanobacteriati; Methanobacteriota. The record is from RNAcentral.